Mus musculus (house mouse) is the source of this 462-nucleotide long non-coding RNA. RefSeq annotates it as predicted gene 12404. Lineage: Eukaryota; Metazoa; Chordata; Mammalia; Rodentia; Muridae. The transcript is spliced from 3 exons. The record is from RefSeq and is a predicted model, not a curated record.
CUGGAUGUUCAAAUCUUGGUUGAUCUGCUGUAGAAAAGGUUCGUGUCAGCUGGAAGGGCAUCACCCUGGGCUGGAGCUGCCGCUAUCACCCCAAGACCACAGAACAGCCCCAUCUCAUGCCAGGGUUUGCCCGAUUUCAGGUCAACUCCUGUAAGGUGUCUGCCCGCAUUUCACACCUGUUCUAUUUUAGAGCCCCUCUUUAAUAACCCCGGGCUCGCUGUAAUUCAGGAACAACACCCCACCCACCCCCGCCCACUGCCUGGCUGCCUGGUAAAGGUAGUCUGGCUCCCGUGGUUUGUGGAGGCAAGGGGUGGAGCCUCACCUCGGCAGAGGAGUAGCCAGAGGAAGAGUAUCUGGACAUGUCAAAGUCAUCGUCGCUGGCCAUGAGAAGAGCGAGAGAGAAGAGUGAGUAAUUUAGAGAGAUUAAACAGAAAACGCUCUGCGUCUUUGCUAUACCCGCCC